RNAcentral lists this ribosomal RNA (306 nucleotides) under Triticum aestivum (bread wheat). RNAcentral describes it as "partial small subunit ribosomal RNA". The record is from RNAcentral. Lineage: Eukaryota; Viridiplantae; Streptophyta; Magnoliopsida; Poales; Poaceae.
AUGCGGAUGCAUGGUCGCAUAGCAGUAUGUGGGAUGGUCUCCCAGCACGGCAUGACUGAUCCUUCAGGGAUCCACAACCUCUUCUGUCUGGUGCCGAAACGGAUCAGUAUGAAGGGCUUCAUCCAGAGUGAUUACAUCAAGUUAUUCCCACAGUUCGUCGAUUACAUGACCAAGCAUUACAAGGAUGGCAAGAUUGAAUAUGUAGAAGACAUGAGCAUCAGGCUAGAGAAUGCGCCAGCUGCCUUUGUUGGUCUAUUCAGUGGUAAAAAUGUUGGCAAACAAGUCGUGUGCGUGUCACAAGAGUGA